Long non-coding RNA from Hyla sarda, 519 nucleotides. RefSeq lists it as uncharacterized. Lineage: Eukaryota; Metazoa; Chordata; Amphibia; Anura; Hylidae. The transcript is spliced from 3 exons. The record is from RefSeq and is a predicted model, not a curated record.
CCAAAUCCGGGUCCAGUCAGAGAAGAAGGUGAUAGUCAAAGAGGUGCAAAAGGAGCUGAAUCAUAAAUAUAAGCAACAUUUCACGUAUCUGGCCAUUGUAAAAUGAUGGUGAGAUGUCAAGAGACAAAACAUUGAUAAGAUCAAAAGGAUCCUUAACCAACAUUGCCCAGAGGCUGAACUUCCACUUGCCAUACGGUGGCAGAGGAGAGCCACCGAGGAUAUGGAGGUGGUGGUAAUGUCGGGAGAGGAGGAGGAGAAUGACGAGAAGGCAGGACCCUCCCAUCAGGAACCUGUUCCAGCAACACCACUAGGAGGUUCUCUUGAAAUUGCUAAAGAAAAUAGAGGAUCUGCAGUGGGAGAAUGACAAGGGGAUGGCUUGUAUAGAGAGCCAGCAACGUAAAAUUGGACAGCAGCAGGAGAGGCUACUCCAGCUGCAGUUGCUUCAGCAGGCAAGCAUUGAAAAGCUCAAGGAGAAGCAAGAGAAGGCCAUGCAAGAGCUGAAGGCAAUCCACAAUGAGC